UGUGCAACUCAGAGCAGAGGAGCUGUGGCAGGCGACGAGGCUGGAGGGGGUUGAGGCAGUGCCAUCCUCAGGGUGUUGGUCCCCAGGACACCCCUGUCACAGCUCACCUGCAAGCAGCCUCACAGCCCCUCUUCUUCUCUUCCCUUUUCCAGCACAUGGUGUGUUGCAUGAAAAUGUGAUUUUGGAAAUUGGUUUAAGAUCAGAAAACUGCCUAUGUUUGAGAAAUUAUGAGCUUUUUGGAGAAGGAAUUGUAUUAUUUGCUGCUGUGCUGAAGGUUUUAUGGGGAUAUAUAAAGUGUGAAUGGCAUGCCAAGAGUUAGCAACUGCUUCACAUAGAUGUAGCAUUUGGAUACACUCUGGAGGAGCAAGACUAUCAGAAUGAACCUUUAAAGAACAAAAGCUACAGGGUGGACAAACUUCCACAUAUCUUUACCAAUACUCAGGUGCUCAAAGGAUAUUCUCCUGCCCACAUGCCGAGUGCACAGGCAGCAGGGACUUCCAGAACUUGAUGCCUAACCUCCCUUCUCUGGGUCUUGAAAACAUGAAAGGCAUUAAGAGUGAGUUCAUUCAAUCUCAGUCAAUAACAUAAGUUUGUAACACUCAUGUGUAACACUCCUCUCUGUGUGUGCAUUUGUGUUCUGGGAUAUUUUGGGAGGAUGCCUGUACUUUGCUUUCUUUGCCUUCAUACGUGACUAGAGUACGUAGAUUAUGACUGCUGACUCUUGACUGCAUCAGCCCCUGUAGCCACAUUUUCAUUAUAUCUGCA
This 765-nucleotide long non-coding RNA is filed under the name Taeniopygia guttata (zebra finch). RNAcentral's name for it is "lncRNA (ENSTGUG00000028471.1)". Lineage: Eukaryota; Metazoa; Chordata; Aves; Passeriformes; Estrildidae. The record is from RNAcentral.